Molecule: small nuclear RNA, 97 nt
Organism: Oryctolagus cuniculus (rabbit)
Lineage: Eukaryota; Metazoa; Chordata; Mammalia; Lagomorpha; Leporidae
Source: Ensembl
GUGCUCACUUUGGCAGCACAUAUAGUAAAAUUGGAAUGAUACAGAGAAGCUUAGCAUGGCUCCUGCACAAGGUUGACACGCAAAUUCGUGGAGUGUU